AGAGUUUGAUCAUGGCUCAGGAUGAACGCUAGCUACAGGCUUAACACAUGCAAGUCGAGGGGCAGCAUGUUGGUUGCUUGCAACCAAUGAUGGCGACCGGCGCACGGGUGAGUAACGCGUAUCCAACCUACCCUUGUCCAUCGGAUAACCCGUCGAAAGGCGGCCUAACACGAUAUGCGGUUCACAGCAGGCAUCUAAAGGUGAACGAAAUGUGAAGGAGAAGGAUGGGGAUGCGUCUGAUUAGCUUGUUGGCGGGGUAAGGCCCACAAGGCUACGAUCAGUAGGGGUUCUGAGAGGAAGGUCCCCCACAUUGGAACUGAGACACGGUCCAAAACUCCUACGGGAGGCA
Molecule: ribosomal RNA, 349 nt
Filed under: uncultured bacterium
Lineage: Bacteria
Description: bacterial SSU rRNA
Rfam family: Bacterial small subunit ribosomal RNA
Source: RNAcentral